This 119-nucleotide non-coding RNA is filed under the name Oxyrrhis marina. Lineage: Eukaryota; Dinophyceae; Oxyrrhinales; Oxyrrhinaceae. The record is from RNAcentral.
AUAACGAAAAGAAGAAGGAAAACAGCAAAGCCUUGAACAAGGCAUACUUUUACACACAUUCCUGUGUAUUUUUUUUCUCUACUACACCACUCCAAUUAUUUUUCUCUGGAAACUUUUCC